This 324-nucleotide long non-coding RNA is filed under the name Fragaria vesca (wild strawberry). RNAcentral's name for it is "long non-coding RNA (FVES_LNC000412)". Lineage: Eukaryota; Viridiplantae; Streptophyta; Magnoliopsida; Rosales; Rosaceae. The record is from RNAcentral.
ACUCGAUUAGGGUAUCGUGUGGGUUAAAUGUCGUUUGCCCUUUUUCGGUGGAUUUGAUCGGCACCGUGACGGAAAUUAGCCCUUUCUUUUUCUUGGUAGCGAAAACAAAGUUUAAUUAUCACACCGAUAGAUUUUAAAGUAUGGGUACCACUUUGACUGUAUCAUAAAAAUUGAGGUACCGGUACUAUCAAAACUUCUUUAAAAAAUAAAGAGGUGCAAAACAUUCCAUAUUCAAGAUUUAUGGGUGGAAUGAAAACCCAUAUUCAUUCUCUUCCAAUUUAAGCCCCCAAAGAUCAUUGCUUUUUGAUUUUGACUUGUGCAAAU